Alligator mississippiensis (American alligator) is the source of this 766-nucleotide long non-coding RNA. RefSeq lists it as uncharacterized. The record is from RefSeq and is a predicted model, not a curated record. Lineage: Eukaryota; Metazoa; Chordata; Crocodylia; Alligatoridae. The transcript has 3 exons.
AAUUGAAUUCAGUCAUGCUCUCUUGGCUACAGCACAGAACUGCUUAUGGAAGCACGUCUCCUAUUUUAAGAGCAGAGUCAGGUCCUGCUCGAUUUGGCCUUUCUUCUGAAGAGUUCAUUAUUGUACCUUCUCUCAGGGAGCAGAAGUGGCACUUGGUUUGAACUGUAGCAUCGUUUUUAUUUUGUGAUUAUUUAUUUAUUUAUUUUUUCAGAGGUCCAUUUCUCCAGUUGCACGAUCGAUCGGUGUACUAGUCUAGGACUUACAAAAGCCUGGUGGCCACAUUUUUACCUGGAAGGCCUAUGCUGAACUUCCACUCUUUCAGACCACAGAUUCACCAAGUUAGUGGCCGCAUAGAGCUGUUCUGGAUGUCAUAGGGAACUACAGCAGAAGAUGCUUUUCAUCCAUCCAGAGGCAGACAUGCCGGUUGAAAAGAAAGGAGCAUUGAUAACCAGCAUACGGGAGAAUGCCUGUCUGCUAGAAACAGAGCAGUAAGAAAAGCAGCUGUUUGGACAAUUGACAGAUGAAAACAUCCUACUGCUCUAUGAAAUCCCCCGAUCCUUGUUUGCGUCCAUCACAACGACACACCAUUGCUCCUGGAGCCAGUUAGAGCAGCGACAUCAACUUCACUAAACUGAAAAUCCCUUGUGAGUCUUGUGAUCUAGACUAAUUUAACCUACCUGCUUAUGUAUUUGCUGAGCCCAUAACGAUGGUGUUUGAGCAUAUAGGAUGAGAUUGGGGCCAUCUUGAUGUGAAUGGCUUCGUUAGA